AUUGAACGCUGGCGGCAUGCCUUACACAUGCAAGUCGAACGGCAGCACGGGGGCAACCCUGGUGGCGAGUGGCGAACGGGUGAGUAAUACAUCGGAACGUGCCCAGUAGUGGGGGAUAGCCCGGCGAAAGCCGGAUUAAUACCGCAUACGACCUACGGGUGAAAGCGGGGGAUCGCAAGACCUCGCGCUAUUGGAGCGGCCGAUGUCAGAUUAGGUUGUUGGUGAGGUAAAGGCUCACCAAGCCGACGAUCUGUAGCUGGUCUGAGAGGACGACCAGCCACACUGGGACUGAGACACGGCCCAGACUCCUACAGGAGGCAGCAGUGGGGAAUUUUGGACAAUGGGGGCAACCCUGAUCCAGCCAUGCCGCGUGCGGGAAGAAGGCCUUCGGGUUGUAAACCGCUUUUGUCAGGGAAGAAAUCUUCUGAGUUAAUACCUCGGGAGGAUGACGGUACCUGAAGAAUAAGCACCGGCUAACUACGUGCCAGCCGCCGCCGUAA
Molecule: ribosomal RNA, 500 nt
Filed under: uncultured bacterium
Lineage: Bacteria
Description: partial 16S ribosomal RNA
Rfam family: Bacterial small subunit ribosomal RNA
Source: RNAcentral